Molecule: ribosomal RNA, 1471 nt
Filed under: uncultured organism
Description: SSU rRNA
Rfam family: Bacterial small subunit ribosomal RNA
Source: RNAcentral
GCGGCGUGCCUAAUACAUGCAAGUAGAACGCUGAAGAGAGGAGCUUGCUCUUCUUGGAUGAGUUGCGAACGGGUGAGUAACGCGUAGGUAACCUGCCUUGUAGCGGGGGAUAACUAUUGGAAACGAUAGCUAAUACCGCAUAACAAUGGAUGACACAUGUCAUUUAUUUGAAAGGGGCAAUUGCUCCACUACAAGAUGGACCUGCGUUGUAUUAGCUAGUAGGUGAGGUAAUGGCUCACCUAGGCGACGAUACAUAGCCGACCUGAGAGGGUGAUCGGCCACACUGGGACUGAGACACGGCCCAGACUCCUACGGGAGGCAGCAGUAGGGAAUCUUCGGCAAUGGGGGCAACCCUGACCGAGCAACGCCGCGUGAGUGAAGAAGGUUUUCGGAUCGUAAAGCUCUGUUGUAAGUCAAGAACGGGUGUGAGAGUGGAAAGUUCACACUAUGACGGUAGCUUACCAGAAAGGGACGGCUAACUACGUGCCAGCAGCCGCGGUAAUACGUAGGUCCCGAGCGUUGUCCGGAUUUAUUGGGCGUAAAGCGAGCGCAGGCGGUUUGAUAAGUCUGAAGUUAAAGGCUGUGGCUCAACCAUAGUUCGCUUUGGAAACUGUCAAACUUGAGUGCAGAAGGGGAGAGUGGAAUUCCAUGUGUAGCGGUGAAAUGCGUAGAUAUAUGGAGGAACACCGGUGGCGAAAGCGGCUCUCUGGUCUGUAACUGACGCUGAGGCUCGAAAGCGUGGGGAGCGAACAGGAUUAGAUACCCUGGUAGUCCACGCCGUAAACGAUGAGUGCUAGGUGUUGGAUCCUUUCCGGGAUUCAGUGCCGCAGCUAACGCAUUAAGCACUCCGCCUGGGGAGUACGACCGCAAGGUUGAAACUCAAAGGAAUUGACGGGGGCCCGCACAAGCGGUGGAGCAUGUGGUUUAAUUCGAAGCAACGCGAAGAACCUUACCAGGUCUUGACAUCCCGAUGCUAUUUCUAGAGAUAGAAAGUUACUUCGGUACAUCGGUGACAGGUGGUGCAUGGUUGUCGUCAGCUCGUGUCGUGAGAUGUUGGGUUAAGUCCCGCAACGAGCGCAACCCCUAUUGUUAGUUGCCAUCAUUCAGUUGGGCACUCUAGCGAGACUGCCGGUAAUAAACCGGAGGAAGGUGGGGAUGACGUCAAAUCAUCAUGCCCCUUAUGACCUGGGCUACACACGUGCUACAAUGGUUGGUACAACGAGUUGCGAGUCGGUGACGGCGAGCUAAUCUCUUAAAGCCAAUCUCAGUUCGGAUUGUAGGCUGCAACUCGCCUACAUGAAGUCGGAAUCGCUAGUAAUCGCGGAUCAGCACGCCGCGGUGAAUACGUUCCCGGGCCUUGUACACACCGCCCGUCACACCACGAGAGUUUGUAACACCCGAAGUCGGUGAGGUAACCUUUUGGAGCCAGCCGCCUAAGGUGGGACAGAUGAUUGGGGUGAAGUCAUAACAA